CUUUUCUAUCUUUAAGGUGAAUCAGAUAUUGCGGGAACUGAGUAGAGAAUGGCCUGGAAGUUCAUAUGACUUGCUAUCCAAGAACUGCAAUCACUUCUGUGAUGAAUUCUGUGAAAGGCUUGGUGUGCCAAAACUUCCAGGUUGGGUUAAUCGUUUUGCAAAUGCUGGUGAUGCAGCCUUGGAAGUUGCGGGAAAUACAGCAUUACGGUUUAGACAAGCCAAGGCAGAGAUUGUAUCAGCUAGCAAAGUGGCAUAUCGUUUCCUCGUAGGUGUCGCUUCCAAUAAUGGGCCUGCCCCUGAUUCACCUGGCAAUUCAAGUAGAGGAAGCCCUAGAUUUCAAGCAACUUGGUUUAAAAACGUAAUUACUUCUGGUGCUAAACCAUCUAGUAGCACAGAAGUAGACAAUCAGGAUGAAGAUAUGCAUCUUCGGCAGCAACUUGACCAAGUGUCAGAUAUACCAUCACGGCAGAAUUCACAACAAUGGCAGUCAGAUCUACCAGCACAUCAGAAUUCAAGGCAUGAUGUAUGAGGAAGCAUUUUGUUAAAGCAUUGUCAGCUGUAUCAGUUGAAACUUGCAAUAGACUAUCACAGCAAUUCAUUGUGUAUCACUGUAAAAUUUUCAUUGCUUUUCCAACUGAAUUUGCCGUAAUGGUGCCUAAUGGAUUCUAAGUACAUGGCAAAGGCUGUCAGUCAAUCUGUAAGGUUAUCCAUUUCACAGAGCCUGAAGCUUUACCCUGCGUCAUGGCAUUGGGCAAUUGUUAUUUUGUGUGUUUUUAUAAAAAUUAAAAAC
Molecule: unclassified non-coding RNA, 790 nt
Filed under: Hevea brasiliensis (rubber tree)
Lineage: Eukaryota; Viridiplantae; Streptophyta; Magnoliopsida; Malpighiales; Euphorbiaceae
Source: RNAcentral